AUGUACAUAUGUAAAUACACAACUAUAACCAUUUUAUUCAUUUUCCAUAAAGACUAUACAAUGGCUGAGGCUUUCUGGACCUGGCAGGCAGCCAUGGCGUCUGGCAGUCAGGACGAUGGGACCGACAGACCAGGCCCAUCACACAUGUUAGCAGCACCUUAUCACAUAGCCACAUCAUCCAGGGAAACACCUAUUCUGACCACCAUGAUACAGGCAGGAUCUAACGGUGAAGGAGGGAGGCAGCAAUCCUUUUACCAGCAUCGACUUCCACCUUUGAUGCCAACACCAUUCGGAGCGGCCAUUGCCCAGGUUCGACCACACCGCAGGACCAUACCUCCACCAUCCCCAGCACUGACUCCACCAUCACCAUUGCCACCAGUACUGACACCACCACCACCACCACCACCACCUACACCGGCGACAUCAACAUUAGAGGAACCCCAGCAUCCAGAGGAGAACAACGACCCAUGGCAGCAGAUCAACUUGCCUCCAGACCCAGCAGUGAAUCAUCCAGAGAAUGAUGAUGAGGAGGAGCCAUCAUCCAAUCCAACAUCUCCAGCAGAAUCUUCUGAGCUGGCCAACCAGGACCUCAACAGACGGCUGUUUCCCUCACGACGUCAUCACAUUUCUGAGGGAGAUGGUAACCUAAUGGGCAGAUACCUGUCGCGCCCAUGGAAUACCUAUACCACGGCACGUGACUUUGAGGAGGAGAUUGCCACAAUGUCACGCCACACCUUUUUUCUUACUACUCGGAACCUAUCACAGGAGGGAAGAAGGGCUCUUAAGGCAAUUCGGAGCAGAGCGCGACAGCGGAAUAAGAACAUGGAGCUUAGAGCGCGGGCUCAACGUGCCGAAAGAUCACUCGCCACUAUGGAGAACAAAAGGAACCGGGCCAGGAUGGAUGCUGAACGAUACAGGCAAGCUAUUAACUGUAUAUACAACCACUGCUGCAAUUACACAAUCGUGCUCCUUUCUGGAAUAAGUGACAUGCAAGAGGGAAACUUCCAUGGGCCCAACAUACUUCGUGAUGAACAUGUGGAAAUGGAGAGGGCACGAUUGCUCCCAAGGUUAUCAGAACCUUAUCCAUGA
Molecule: long non-coding RNA, 1089 nt
Filed under: Betta splendens (Siamese fighting fish)
Lineage: Eukaryota; Metazoa; Chordata; Actinopteri; Anabantiformes; Osphronemidae
Description: lncRNA (ENSBSLG00000019286.1)
Source: RNAcentral